This 1255-nucleotide long non-coding RNA is filed under the name Homo sapiens (human). Its description in RNAcentral is "HSALNT0024745". The record is from RNAcentral. Lineage: Eukaryota; Metazoa; Chordata; Mammalia; Primates; Hominidae.
CUCCAACUGGGACUGUGUGACUGCUCCAUGGAUGACCUUUGGGUAUCACAGGGCCAAAACCCCAUCAUCAGAUCAUGCUAAUAAUUCCAUUUUGUAAACAUGAGUCCUAUGAAGAGCCACAAGGCUUGACUACACUUGCUCAGAUCACCAGUUCCCACACUUUCCUUACCCCCUUCUCUAUGCCUCGGAUUGCCUUGUUCUUUUAUCCCAUGAAUGUCCCUCAACCCUGUCUUUGGAGAGUUGGGUUUGGGAUCUCUUCUCCUGUCUUCUUGCUUUGCUGCCUCGUGAAUAAACCCUUUCUUUGCUGCAAACCUCAUCACAGUGAUUGGCAUACUGUGUGACAGGCAGAACAAGCCUGGCUGGGUAACAAACUCACUGGAAUAUCAUAUACAUUAAUAGCAACAAACAGAUGUUUGAAAUUAUCAUUAUAGUUUCAUGGUCCUCAGAAAGAGAUUUAACCUUAACUAUGUCCAGUGUCAUUGUAGCUGGGGAGGGAGAGACUUCUAUUGCAGCAGAGCAACCAGCUGUGUGUGACCGUGGAGGGACCAUGUGGUUGACUGGCUUUGUUCUGGAUCAGCAAGUACUUCUCUAAGGGGACUGGAGAGACAAGAAGGAAGAGGGCAUUUCUCUCUCCUCUCUUGCUUUCAUUGCUGCCGGAUUCUGCACACUGGGCGCUGCCAGGCUGUGGCUGCUCACGCCUGUGGGGAAAACAGUGCCCUGUGUCUGGUCCAGCCAGUUCACCCGGGAGCCUGAUGUUCAAUUUGAUGAUUCAUGGCUUCCUUGCCUGGGGAAUUUUCAGAUUGAAAGAAAGACACCUGACAGAUUUAUGGAUGUUUUAAUAAACACAGGCAAGGCAAAGUUGGCUUCUGAGCUAACACAUGGAUAUAAAUACCAGACUGAUAAAACCUGGAAAGCACAGGCCGUUCUAAUGAUCCGCAGAGGCUGCUUUGGCUGUGCUGUUUCAGGUGGUGCUUCGCAGGGUGGGCCAGCAGCAGCAGAAUCUCCUGGGAGCCUCACAGAAAUGCACAAGCUGGGUGCGUUGGCUCACACCCGUAAUCCCAGCACUUUGGGAAACUGGGGUGAGAGGACUGUUUGAGCCCAGGAGUUUGAGGCUGCAGUGAACUAUGAUCAGGCCAUUGCACUCCAGCCUGGGCAACACAGUGAGACCCUGUCUUAAGAAAAAAAUGGAAAUGCACAUUCUUGGGCCCCAUCCUAGACCUGCUGACUUGGAAAUUCUGGGGGUGAUACCCAGCAA